This is a long non-coding RNA of Pristis pectinata (smalltooth sawfish), 251 nucleotides long. RefSeq lists it as uncharacterized. The transcript has 3 exons. The record is from RefSeq and is a predicted model, not a curated record. Lineage: Eukaryota; Metazoa; Chordata; Chondrichthyes; Rhinopristiformes; Pristidae.
UUUUGGUCCCGAAGAGUAUAACUACUCACAGGAAUAGAAGGGCGCUUUUAUUUGGAGAUGGAUGCACUACUAUUCCCAAGGGAAUGAGGAAAUUAUCGACCGUAGUACAGAGGGGACCAAAUGUUGUACACCGGACUGGAAGGAGUGUAAGUGAACUGCUGUUUCAUCUGGAAGGAGUGUUGGAUCCCUGGAUGGUGAGAAUGGAAGAGGUAAAAGACCAAGUGUUGCACCUCCUGCGAUUGCAUGGGAAA